Molecule: long non-coding RNA, 154 nt
Organism: Sapajus apella (tufted capuchin)
Lineage: Eukaryota; Metazoa; Chordata; Mammalia; Primates; Cebidae
Exons: 3
Source: RefSeq, a predicted model, not a curated record
AUGAGACUUAUUCACUACCAUGAGAACAGCAGAUGAAAGACCUGCCCUCAUGAUUUACCUCUCACCAGUUUCCUCCCAUGAUACAUGGGAAUUUUGGGAGUUACAAUUCAAAAUGAGAUUUGGGUGGGGACACAGCCAAACCAUAUCAAAGACC